RNAcentral lists this ribosomal RNA (705 nucleotides) under Virgibacillus dokdonensis. RNAcentral describes it as "bacterial SSU rRNA". It matches the Rfam family "Bacterial small subunit ribosomal RNA", at positions 120 to 809 of the family's 1533-position model. Lineage: Bacteria; Bacillati; Bacillota; Bacilli; Caryophanales; Bacillaceae. The record is from RNAcentral.
GGCAACCUACCUGUAAGACUGGGAUAACUCCGGGAAACCCGGGGCUAAUACCGGAUGAAACAAAGCGUCGCAUGACGCAAUGUUAAAAGGCGGCAUAUGCUGUCACUUACAGAUGGGCCCGCGGCGCAUUAGCUAGUUGGUGAGGUAAAGGCUCACCAAGGCAACGAUGCGUAGCCGACGUGAGAGGGUGAUCGGCCACACUGGGACUGAGACACGGCCCAGACUCCUACGGGAGGCAGCAGUAGGGAAUCUUCCGCAAUGGACGAAAGUCUGACGGAGCAACGCCGCGUGAGUGAUGAAGGUUUUCGGAUCGUAAAACUCUGUUGUUAGGGAAGAACAAGUGCCAUUCGAAUAGGUUGGCACCUUGACGGUACCUAACCAGAAAGCCCCGGCUAACUACGUGCCAGCAGCCGCGGUAAUACGUAGGGGGCAAGCGUUGUCCGGAAUUAUUGGGCGUAAAGCGCGCGCAGGCGGUCCUUUAAGUCUGAUGUGAAAGCCCACGGCUUAACCGUGGAGGGCCAUUGGAAACUGGAGGACUUGAGUACAGAAGAGGAGAGUGGAAUUCCACGUGUAGCGGUGAAAUGCGUAGAGAUGUGGAGGAACACCAGUGGCGAAGGCGACUCUCUGGUCUGUAACUGACGCUGAGGUGCGAAAGCGUGGGUAGCGAACAGGAUUAGAUACCCUGGUAGUCCACGCCGUAAACGA